AUAUGCAUGUGCUAUACAUAAGAAAAUCAAGAUAAAAAAUCUUUGAUAUGGGAUGAAAUCGAGAUGCAUAGAAAAUCACAUAUAAUGGGUGCUUGCGUGUGGUCUAAGUAGUACAGAGCGAGAAGAUAAUUGGGAGCCUAUGUCCAUUCAUGCAUACCUGCUUGCAUACAUGUGUACUGCCUUGUUAGAUUACUAUAUACGCACCACGUCGACAGAGCUUGUUGGCAUGUUCUGCAUAGAUGACGAUACGCAAGAAGGUAAUGGAUCUGAAAAUAAUGCAAAUAAUAAGGAAUCAAGAAUGUCUAGUGUAGAUUAGUCUUGAACUCUCGAUGGGCAUCAACCAAGUAAUGAACCACAUGGCAGACUGUUGUAGCAAAUAUCCAAGUUCUGUAGGCCGGUGGGACAACCUGAUUUGUGUGAGGAACUGAAGAUGGACCAAACAAACAACAAGUAUAAGAAGGUAUUAAGGCAAGGGAGUGACAUGGAGUUCAGAUGAGAUCUGUACCAUUGUGGUAGUGGUGGCUGGUGGUAAAAAGAGGAGAUGCUAUGGAUGAUAGGCAGUAGCACCAAAAUCUGAAUCAACCCAUCUAGAAUUUUCAGUGUGUAGUUGUGUGCAAACCUUGACAAAUGAUGUCCAGCUAGGCUUUGUUUGGCUGCACCUGUGCAGAGUUGUGGGCA
Molecule: long non-coding RNA, 678 nt
Filed under: Triticum aestivum (bread wheat)
Lineage: Eukaryota; Viridiplantae; Streptophyta; Magnoliopsida; Poales; Poaceae
Description: long non-coding RNA (TAES_LNC027641)
Source: RNAcentral